AAUGAACGCUGGCGGCAUGCCUAACACAUGCAAGUCGAACGAAGGCUUCGGCCUUAGUGGCGCACGGGUGCGUAACGCGUGGGAAUCUGCCCUUGGGUUCGGAAUAACAGUUAGAAAUGACUGCUAAUACCGGAUGAUGUCGUAAGACCAAAGAUUUAUCGCCCCAGGAUGAGCCCGCGUAGGAUUAGCUGGUUGGUGGGGUAAAGGCCUACCAAGGCGACGAUCCUUAGCUGGUCUGAGAGGAUGAUCAGCCACACUGGGACUGAGACACGGCCCAGACUCGUACGGGAGGGAGGAGUGGGGAAUAUUGGACAAGGGGCGAAAGCCUGAUACAGCAAUGCCGCGUGAGUGAUGAAGGCCGUAGGGAUGUAAAGCUCUUUUACCCGGGAUGAUAAUGACAGUACCGGGAGAAUAAGCACCGGCUAACUUCGUG
RNAcentral lists this ribosomal RNA (433 nucleotides) under uncultured bacterium. RNAcentral describes it as "partial 16S ribosomal RNA". It matches the Rfam family "Bacterial small subunit ribosomal RNA", at positions 29 to 507 of the family's 1533-position model. The record is from RNAcentral.